This 70-nucleotide non-coding RNA is filed under the name Ramlibacter sp. Leaf400. Its description in RNAcentral is "SAH (S-adenosyl-L-homocysteine) riboswitch aptamer". It matches the Rfam family "SAH (S-adenosyl-L-homocysteine) riboswitch aptamer". Lineage: Bacteria; Pseudomonadati; Pseudomonadota; Betaproteobacteria; Burkholderiales; Comamonadaceae. RNAcentral also lists the same sequence under 1 other name. The record is from Rfam by way of RNAcentral.
CUCUCAAGGAGCGUUGCAGCGCCGGUCCCGCCGGCGUCAGGCUUGAGACCCACAACGACGCUCACCUCGA